CGGGCGGGGCGGAGAGAGGUCGAUGGAGAGGCGACGAUGAGGUCGAGAGUUCCGUGCGUCGGUCGUUCCGCUUCCGUCGUGGGACGGUCGACUCCUGGAACGUCCCGUCUCUGCUCACGAGCCACCUGGCACAGCAGGACGGGCAGAGUGUCCCGGCCCUGGCCCCGCCCCGCCCCGCCCCGCUUUCGCACCUGUUGUAAGGCGUGGAGAAGGUGGCCAUGACGACGUCGCGCCCGCUGACGUGGAUGACGUCGGUGACGGCCUGCAGGAUGUUGAAGUAGAAGUGGGAGUCGCCGGGGAUGGAGCAGUUGAGGCGGGUCUUGAGGAAGGAGGUCCACUGCUUCUCCAGCACCCUCUGGGAGCCGCCCCGGUCGUUCUUACACACCCUCGCCACCCGCGGGAACACCACCUGCGCACCGCACAAGCGCCAGGGGGGAAGGAGAGGGAAGUCCUUCGGAGAGGAUAAUCUACGACCGCACAGAGUGUCUUCAACCCCAUCUGUCGCAGGCGUGAGUUCUUCAGACGCUCGGGCGAGCACACUUGGGCAAGUGCUACGAAACCGUCGCAAAUAACUGACUUUACAGCGUCCCGGAAGAAAAAGAGAAAAUGGCUCGAUAAAAACAAAAAAAAAAACCGAAACGAACACCGUUCUGCGAAAAAGGUCCAUGCUGUGCACAGUCCAUUAAGUGUGACAACACCUGCUGCGGUGAAAUACAUAAGUGGUACUCAUGUACGGUACAAUGGAACAAAAAACAAAUAAAAAUGUAAUAAUACAGUAUAAAGUGCAUAUUACACUGA
This is a long non-coding RNA of Anguilla rostrata (American eel), 798 nucleotides long. RefSeq lists it as uncharacterized. Lineage: Eukaryota; Metazoa; Chordata; Actinopteri; Anguilliformes; Anguillidae. The transcript is spliced from 3 exons. The record is from RefSeq and is a predicted model, not a curated record.